UCCGACGGUUCAGAACCUGAUUUGGGUUGAUUAAAGACUCUUAAACCUAAUAUAAUUAGGUUUUAACCCUUUAAAAGGGCCUGUGCAUGAAACAGAGAGGAGUGGGUCGAUUUUUUGCACCGUACGAAACCCAAGAGAAGAGAGAGGCGGAAGCGCUGAGAGAAGGAGCAGGAGGCUCCUGGACAGCGAUCGCCAGGCACUUUCGAGAUUCAGGGGGGUCUUCAAGAGAGAGAGAGAUUUUAUGAGGAAAACUUCUAGUGAGAGAGAAUUGGGUGUACAAGGGUUGAGGGUGAGGUCUCCUCUUGUAAAAUUUUCUUUUUCGUAGUGAAGUUUGCAUGCCCC
Molecule: long non-coding RNA, 342 nt
Filed under: Elaeis guineensis (African oil palm)
Lineage: Eukaryota; Viridiplantae; Streptophyta; Magnoliopsida; Arecales; Arecaceae
Description: long non-coding RNA (EGUI_LNC051504)
Source: RNAcentral